Molecule: ribosomal RNA, 450 nt
Filed under: uncultured bacterium
Lineage: Bacteria
Description: partial 16S ribosomal RNA
Rfam family: Bacterial small subunit ribosomal RNA
Source: RNAcentral
GUGGGGAAUAUUGGACAAUGGGCGAAAGCCUGAUCCAGCCAUGCCGCGUGUGUGAAGAAGGUCUUCGGAUUGUAAAGCACUUUAAGUUGGGAGGAAGGGCAGUAAGUUAAUACCUUGCUGUUUUGACGUUACCGACAGAAUAAGCACCGGCUAACUUCGUGCCAGCAGCCGCGGUAAUACGAAGGGUGCAAGCGUUAAUCGGAAUUACUGGGCGUAAAGCGCGCGUAGGUGGUUUUGUAAGUUGGAGGUGAAAUCCCCGGGCUCAACCUGGGAACUGCCUCCAAAACUGCAUGACUAGAGUACGGUAGAGGGUAGUGGAAUUUCCUGUGUAGCGGUGAAAUGCGUAGAUAUAGGAAGGAACACCAGUGGCGAAGGCGACUACCUGGACUGAUACUGACACUGAGGUGCGAAAGUGUGGGGAGCAAACAGGAUUAGAAACCCGUGUAGUCC